Molecule: ribosomal RNA, 1575 nt
Filed under: Triticum aestivum (bread wheat)
Lineage: Eukaryota; Viridiplantae; Streptophyta; Magnoliopsida; Poales; Poaceae
Description: partial small subunit ribosomal RNA
Source: RNAcentral
AUGGUUAGGGUUAGGGUUAGGAUUACGGAGGAGGCGGAGGCGGCUGCUUUAUUCCCGAUCCCGAUCUCAAUCCCGAUGCCGAUCCCCAUUACCACCGGAGGAAAAAAGAUUAGGGAGGAGGCGGAGGCGGAGGCGGCUCCUUUAUUCCCGACGCGGAUCCCGAUCGGCAUGGCCAGCGGAGGCGGAGGAGCGCCAUGGGCGGACGGUGCCUUCCCCGAUUGGGUGAUGCUGAACCGCAUCGGCCGCACCAAGUCCUACGACGGCAUAUGCGCUGUUCGUGAGGCCGUCAACCAGAACAAGACCGCCGCUGCAAUUCACAUGGCCAGCGGCCGCUCCUGCUACGUGUCCUUCGCCCUCGCGGACCCUCCAGAAGGGGUCUCCUACUUCGACCUCCACUGGCCGGAGAAAGAGGCCUCAGCCACCCGGCCCGCCUGUCCCUACGUCCGGGCAACUGACGAGGACCUCGUCCUCUUCCACAUCUCCAUCCCGAGCCAGACUCGCUACUUCAACAUCGCGUCAGAUCUGUUCGUCUACACGGCCGCCGGUCCUUCCCCCUCGGUGCAGCAGCUCCCUCGGUACACCAAGGACAGGAAAAGGCCGUUCCUGAUGGAUAAAUUCGCCACAGGCAUCCUGCAGCUCGCGCCGGACUGCUACAUUGUUGCCGACCUUAAUGUCUACCCCAAAAAAAGCGACACUGGCAAUAAUCCCAUGCUUGUUGAACUCUGCAUCUUCAACUCCGAGAAAGGACAUUGGGGAACCAUCUGCAACAGGCCUGCCCCGCGGCCGCAUGACCAGAGCAAUGUCCAGUUCCCCUUCCUGUGGUCAACUGACGAUGUGCUCGCUCUUGAUGGUCGUUUUCUGUGCUGGGUAGACUACUUCAGCGGUGUCCUAAUAUCUGACUUCUCAGAUACAUGCUCCCCUGUGCUUCACUUCGUGCCUUUCCCCGGGGGAAAAGAGUACCAUGAUGACGUACGGGUUGAAAGAUACUUCUCCGGGAGAUUCCAAAGUGUGUCCGUCAGCCAAGGCAUGCUGCGCUUUGUCCACAUUGACAAUGACUUCCAUGAGAGAAUCCAUGGUGGCCAUCGUCACCUUCUUGAGAGAAGACAAGGGCAGCACCCUCGCCAAAAGAUCACCAUUUGGGAUUUGAACAUGAUGUCCAAGUUCAAGUGGGAGCUCCAUCGUGUGAUCUACCUGGAUUCUGUCUGGGGUAGCUCUGGUUACCAGGAGCUGCACAUACCUCGCCGUCUUCCUGAGUUCCCAAUCAUCAGUGCGGAUGACCCGGAUAUUGUAUGCUGCCUUUUAAGGGAGGAGGAAUUUCACGGUGAGGCGUGGAUGAUCAUGGUUGACAUGAAACAGGCACAUGUUCAGUCAUGUACUCCAUAUAUCAAUCAACAGUCCUGCUAUGCUAAGUCUGUGGAUGUGGAUGUGGAUGUGCAAGCUCGCAAAAGCCGUUUUGCUAAUGUGCCCCUACUUCCAGCUGUCUUCUCCAGACACCUUGAAAGGCCAACUGGGAUGCUAUGGAACAACGACAAGCUUGCACCUCAUCCUUCAAAGAAGAGUAAGUUUGCAAGGUAA